This is a long non-coding RNA of Perognathus longimembris pacificus (Pacific pocket mouse), 320 nucleotides long. RefSeq lists it as uncharacterized. NCBI's taxonomy places the organism in Eukaryota, Metazoa, Chordata, Mammalia, Rodentia, Heteromyidae. The record is from RefSeq and is a predicted model, not a curated record. The transcript is spliced from 3 exons.
GAUAAAAGCAUGCAAUUUCUACAACAAUCGUUUACUAAAGACCCACUUUUGCUUUUGGAGAGACCUGGCAAAAACGCAAAUAAAUGAUGAUGUUAUUGCAGAGGCAAAAAUGGAAAGAGCAAUGGCACAUCACCACUUAAAACUUCAAAAAUUAGUAUUUUAUCCCUGGCAAUCUUAUGUCAAAAGGCAAAAAGAAAGACUUCUAGAGGUCCUAUCACAGUUGAAUCGGAUGUUCAGUAUAUUCAGGCAAAAAAUUUUCAUAGCCCACUGGUGGGAAGAAACAAAGCGGAGGAUUCAAGUUCAAGAAGCUGAGAUGGGAU